Molecule: ribosomal RNA, 253 nt
Filed under: uncultured bacterium
Lineage: Bacteria
Description: partial 16S ribosomal RNA
Rfam family: Bacterial small subunit ribosomal RNA
Source: RNAcentral
UACGGGGGGGGCAAGCGUUGUUCGGAAUUACUGGGCGUAAAGGGCUCGUAGGUGGCCAACUAAGUCAGACGUGAAAUCCCUCGGCUUAACCGGGGAACUGCGUCUGAUACUGGAUGGCUUGAGUGUGGGAGAGGGAUGCGGAAUUCCAGGUGUAGCGGUGAAAUGCGCAGAUAUCAGGAAGAACACCCGUGGCUAAGGCGGCUCUCUAGUACGGUACUGACGCUGAGACGCGAAAGCGUGGGGAGCGAACAGG